RNAcentral lists this ribosomal RNA (193 nucleotides) under uncultured bacterium. Its description in RNAcentral is "partial 16S ribosomal RNA". It matches the Rfam family "Bacterial small subunit ribosomal RNA", at positions 338 to 524 of the family's 1533-position model. The record is from RNAcentral.
CCUACGGGAGGCAGCAGUGGGGAAUAUUGGACAAUGGGGGCAACCCUGAUCCAGCCAUGCCGCGUGAGUGAUGUAGGCCCUAGGGUUGUAAAGCUCUUUAAGUUGGGAAGAAAAAGCUUCAGCUAACAUCUGAAGCCUUGACGGUACCGACAGAAUAAGCACCGGCUAACUCUGUGCCAGCAGCCGCGGUAAU